Molecule: transfer RNA, 65 nt
Filed under: Cerceris albofasciata
Lineage: Eukaryota; Metazoa; Arthropoda; Insecta; Hymenoptera; Crabronidae
Description: tRNA-Tyr
Source: RNAcentral
AGUAUUAUGUCUGAUUAAAGUGAUAAGCUGUAAACUUAUUUAAGAAAUUUAAAUUUCUAAUACUA